Non-coding RNA from Acanthosepion pharaonis, 104 nucleotides. The record is from the annotation of a GenBank genome assembly. Lineage: Eukaryota; Metazoa; Mollusca; Cephalopoda; Sepiida; Sepiidae.
GCCAUAUCGAAACACCACUUCUAAUUUGAUCACUGAAGUUCAGCAAUUUUGUGCCUGGUCAAUACCUAGAUGGGUGACUACUUGGGAAUACCAGUUGCUGUAAG